CCUACGGGAGGCAGCAGUGAGGAAUAUUGGUCAAUGGCCGGAAGGCUGAACCAGCCAUGCCGCGUGAAGGUCAGUGCCCUAUGGGCGUUAAACUUCUUUUGUGCGGGAGCAAUAAUGGUCACGUGUGGCCAGACGAGAGUACCGUACGAAUAAGCAUCGGCUAACUCCGUGCCAGCAGCCGCGGUAAUACGGGGGAUGCAAGCGUUAUCCGGAUUUAUUGGGUUUAAAGGGGGCGUAGGCUGUGAGGUAAGUCAGCGGGGAAAUGCCCCCGCUCAACGGGGUGAAGUGCCAUUGAUACUGCCUUGCUGGAGUGCGGAUGCGGUGGGAGGAAUGUGUGGUGUAGCGGUGAAAUGCAUAGAUAUCACACAGAACACCGAUUGCGAAGGCAUCUCACGAAUCCGCGAUUGACGCUGAUGCACGAAAGCGUGGGUAUCAAACAGGAUUAGAUACCCUAGUAGUC
Molecule: ribosomal RNA, 460 nt
Filed under: uncultured bacterium
Lineage: Bacteria
Description: partial 16S ribosomal RNA
Rfam family: Bacterial small subunit ribosomal RNA
Source: RNAcentral